GGAAAGUCCGACGGUACAGGGUGAUAGUCCCGUACACGAAAGCACACAUGCUGUGAACUCGAAGAGUAGGGCGGGACACGUGGUAUCCUGUCUGAAUAUGGGGGGACCAUCCUCCAAGGCUAAAUACUCCUGACUGACCGAUAGUGAACCAGUACCGUGAGGGAAAGGCGAAAAGAACCCCGGCGAGGGGAGUGAAAAAGAACCUGAAACCGUGUACGUACAAGCAGUGGGAGCCUCUUUAUGGGGUGACUGCGUACCUUUUGUAUAAUGGGUCAGCGACUUAUAUUCUGUAGCAAGGUUAACCGUAUAGGGGAGCCGAAGGGAAACCGAGUCUUAACUGGGCGUUAAGUUGCAGGGUAUAGACCCGAAACCCGGUGAUCUAGCCAUGGGCAGGUUGAAGGUUGGGUAACACUAACUGGAGGACCGAACCGACUAAUGUUGAAAAAUUAGCGGAUGACCUGUGGCUGGGGGUGAAAGGCCAAUCAAACCGGGAGAUAGCUGGUUCUCCCCGAAAGCUAUUUAGGUAGCGCCUCGUGAACUCAUCUUCGGGGGUAGAGCACUGUUUCGGCUAGGGGGCCAUCCCGGCUUACCAACCCGAUGCAAACUACGAAUACCGAAGAAUGUUAUCACGGGAGACACACGGCGGGUGCUAACGUCCGUCGUGAAGAGGGAAACAACCCAGACCGCCAGCUAAGGUCCCAAAGUCAUGGUUAAGUGGGAAACGAUGUGGGAAGGCACAGACAGCCAGGAUGUUGGCUUAGAAGCAGCCAUCAUUUAAAGAAAGCGUAAUAGCUCACUGGUCGAGUCGGCCUGCGCGGAAGAUGUAACGGGGCUAAACCAUGCACCGAAGCUGCGGCAGCGACACUAUGUGUUGUUGGGUAGGGGAGCG
This 889-nucleotide ribosomal RNA is filed under the name Enterobacter hormaechei. Its description in RNAcentral is "partial 23S ribosomal RNA". It matches the Rfam family "Bacterial large subunit ribosomal RNA", at positions 344 to 1238 of the family's 2925-position model. The record is from RNAcentral. Lineage: Bacteria; Pseudomonadati; Pseudomonadota; Gammaproteobacteria; Enterobacterales; Enterobacteriaceae.